CCCUUAGAUGUUCUGGGCCGCACGCGCGCUACACUGAUGCAUUCAACGAGUCUAAAACCUGCUCUGAUAGGGGUGGGUAAUCUUUUGAAUGUGCAUCGUGAUUGGGAUAGAUGAUUGCAAUUUUUCAUCUUCAACGAGGACUGCCUAGUAAACGCAAGUCAUCAGCUUGCAUUGAUUACGUCCCUGCCCUUUGUACACACCGCCCGUCGCUCCUACCGAUUGAAUGAUCCGAUGAAUAUCAUGGAUUGAGGAUGCAAGUAGGUUCGCCUAUCUUCAUCUUCGAGAAGUGAAGUAAAUCUUAUCAUUUAGAGGAAGGAGAAGUCGUAACA
This 329-nucleotide ribosomal RNA is filed under the name uncultured eukaryote. RNAcentral describes it as "partial 18S ribosomal RNA". It matches the Rfam family "Eukaryotic small subunit ribosomal RNA", at positions 1470 to 1796 of the family's 1831-position model. The record is from RNAcentral.